Molecule: ribosomal RNA, 450 nt
Filed under: uncultured Syntrophomonadaceae bacterium
Lineage: Bacteria; Bacillati; Bacillota; Clostridia; Eubacteriales; Syntrophomonadaceae
Description: bacterial SSU rRNA
Rfam family: Bacterial small subunit ribosomal RNA
Source: RNAcentral
UGGAGCAUGUGGUUUAAUUCGACGCAACGCGAAGAACCUUACCAGGGCUUGACAUCUAGCUGACGCAUAUUAGAGAUAGUAUGCUCUUUUCGGAGCAGUUAGACAGGUGGUGCAUGGUUGUCGUCAGCUCGUGUCGUGAGAUGUUGGGUUAAGUCCCGCAACGAGCGCAACCCUUAUUCUUAGUUGCCAUCAGGUAAUGCUGGGCACUCUAAGGAGACUGCCGGUGACAAACCGGAGGAAGGUGGGAUGACGUCAAAUCAUCAUGCCCUUUAUGUCCUGGGCUACACACGUGCUACAAUGGCCGGUACAGACGGACGCAAAGCCGCGAGGUGGAGCAAAUCCUAAAAAGCCGGUCUCAGUUCGGAUUGCAGGCUGCAAUUCGCCUGCAUGAAGUCGGAAUCGCUAGUAAUCGCAGGUCAGCAUACUGCGGUGAAUACGUUCCCGGGCCUU